CUACGGGUGGCAGCAGUGGGGAAUAUUGCACAAUGGACGAAAGUCUGAUGCAGCAACGCCGCGUGGAGGAUGACACAUUUCGGUGCGUAAACUCCUUUUAUAUAGGAAGAUAAUGACGGUACUAUAUGAAUAAGCGCCGGCUAACUCCGUGCCAGCAGCCGCGGUAAUACGGAGGGCGCAAGCGUUACUCGGAAUCACUGGGCGUAAAGAGCGUGUAGGCGGAUAGAUAAGUCAGGAGUGAAAUCCUAUGGCUCAACCAUAGAACUGCUCUUGAAACUGUCUAUCUAGAAUAUGGGAGAGGUAGAUGGAAUUUCUGGUGUAGGGGUAAAAUCCGUAGAGAUCAGAAGGAAUACCGAUUGCGAAGGCGAUCUACUGGAACAUUAUUGACGCUGAGACGCGAAAGCGUGGGGAGCAAACAGGAUUAGAUACCCGUGUAGUC
Molecule: ribosomal RNA, 439 nt
Filed under: uncultured bacterium
Lineage: Bacteria
Description: partial 16S ribosomal RNA
Rfam family: Bacterial small subunit ribosomal RNA
Source: RNAcentral